RNAcentral lists this ribosomal RNA (276 nucleotides) under uncultured prokaryote. RNAcentral's name for it is "partial 16S ribosomal RNA". It matches the Rfam family "Bacterial small subunit ribosomal RNA", at positions 524 to 800 of the family's 1533-position model. The record is from RNAcentral.
UACGUAUGGGGCAAGCGUUAUCCGGAAUUAUUGGGCGUAAAGAGUGCGUAGGUGGUUACCUAAGCGCAAGGUUUAAUCUUGAGGCUCAACCUCAUUCUGCCUUGCGAACUGGGCUACUUGAGUGCAGGAGGGGAAAGCGGAAUUCCCAGUGUAGCGGUGAAAUGCGUAGAUAUUGGGAAGAACACCGGUGGCGAAGGCGGCUUUCUGGACUGUAACUGACACUGAGGCACGAAAGCGUGGGGAGCAAACAGGAUUAGAUACCCCCGUAGUCCCUGA